UUGCAGCCAUGAAAUUAAAAGACACUUACAUGUCUUUAUUGGUCAUUCAAGUGGGGCAAAGGAAAUAACCUUUUAAAACUCAGGCAAACUGGGUGUUUGUCUUGUAACCUGUCAGAGGAAACAUUG
This is a small nucleolar RNA of Cervus elaphus (red deer), 126 nucleotides long. RefSeq annotates it as small nucleolar RNA SNORA27. The transcript has a single exon. NCBI's taxonomy places the organism in Eukaryota, Metazoa, Chordata, Mammalia, Artiodactyla, Cervidae. The record is from RefSeq and is a predicted model, not a curated record.